Molecule: ribosomal RNA, 256 nt
Filed under: uncultured bacterium
Lineage: Bacteria
Description: partial 16S ribosomal RNA
Rfam family: Bacterial small subunit ribosomal RNA
Source: RNAcentral
UACGUAGGGGGCUAGCGUUGUCCGGAAUCAUUGGGCGUAAAGAGCGCGUAGGCGGCUAGAUAAGUCCGGUGUGAAAGUCACAGGCUCAACCUGUGAAUGCCGCUGGAAACCGUGUCUGGCUAGAGUCCGGAAGGGGCGAGUGGAAUUCCUGGUGUAGCGGUGAAAUGCGCAGAUAUCAGGAAGAACACCUAUGGCGAAGGCAGCUCUCUGGGACGGUACUGACGCUGAGACGCGAAAGCGUGGGGGAGCGAACAGG